This is a long non-coding RNA of Alosa sapidissima (American shad), 101 nucleotides long. RefSeq lists it as uncharacterized. NCBI's taxonomy places the organism in Eukaryota, Metazoa, Chordata, Actinopteri, Clupeiformes, Clupeidae. The transcript is spliced from 3 exons. The record is from RefSeq and is a predicted model, not a curated record.
GAAAACUUUGUGAUUAAAUAUAAUCAUCGGAGGUUUCCAGUGCAAACAAUGCACUGGAGCCAUGAUUAUGGGUCACAGAUAGAUGACAUAGAAAAUUGCAA